UACGUAGGGUGCAAGCGUUAAUCGGAAUUACUGGGCGUAAAGCGUGCGCAGGCGGUUAUGCAAGACAGAUGUGAAAUCCCCGGGCUUAACCUGGGAACUGCACUUGUGACUGCACAGCUGGAGUACGGCAGAGGGGGAUGGAAUUCCGCGUGUAGCAGUGAAAUGCGUAGAUAUGCGGAGGAACACCGAUGGCGAAGGCAGUCCCCUGGGCCUGUACUGACGCUCAUGCACGAAAGCGUGGGGAGCAAACAGG
RNAcentral lists this ribosomal RNA (253 nucleotides) under uncultured bacterium. RNAcentral describes it as "partial 16S ribosomal RNA". It matches the Rfam family "Bacterial small subunit ribosomal RNA", at positions 524 to 776 of the family's 1533-position model. The record is from RNAcentral.